This 1355-nucleotide ribosomal RNA is filed under the name uncultured bacterium. Its description in RNAcentral is "bacterial SSU rRNA". It matches the Rfam family "Bacterial small subunit ribosomal RNA", at positions 28 to 1381 of the family's 1533-position model. The record is from RNAcentral.
AUUGAACGCUGGCGGCAGGCUUAACACAUGCAAGUCGAACGAUGAUUAUCUAGCUUGCUAGAUAUGAUUAGUGGCGGACGGGUGAGUAACAUUUAGGAAUCUGCCUAGUAGUGGGGGAUAGCUCGGGGAAACUCGAAUUAAUACCGCAUACGACCUACGGGUGAAAGGGGGCGCAAGCUCUUGCUAUUAGAUGAGCCUAAAUCAGAUUAGCUAGUUGGUGGGGUAAAGGCCCACCAAGGCGACGAUCUGUAACUGGUCUGAGAGGAUGAUCAGUCACACCGGAACUGAGACACGGUCCGGACUCCUACGGGAGGCAGCAGUGGGGAAUAUUGGACAAUGGGGGCAACCCUGAUCCAGCCAUGCCGCGUGUGUGAAGAAGGCCUUUUGGUUGUAAAGCACUUUAAGCAGGGAGGAGAGGCUAAUGGUUAAUACCCAUUAGGUUAGACGUUACCUGCAGAAUAAGCACCGGCUAACUCUGUGCCAGCAGCCGCGGUAAUACAGAGGGUGCGAGCGUUAAUCGGAAUUACUGGGCGUAAAGCGAGUGUAGGUGGCUCAUUAAGUCACAUGUGAAAUCCCCGGGCUUAACCUGGGAACUGCAUGUGAUACUGGUGGUGCUAGAAUAUGUGAGAGGGAAGUAGAAUUCCAGGUGUAGCGGUGAAAUGCGUAGAGAUCUGGAGGAAUACCGAUGGCGAAGGCAGCUUCCUGGCACAAUAUUGACACUGAGAUUCGAAAGCGUGGGUAGCAAACAGGAUUAGAUACCCUGGUAGUCCACGCCGUAAACGAUGUCUACUAGCCGUUGGGGUCCUUGAGACUUUAGUGGCGCAGUUAACGCGAUAAGUAGACCGCCUGGGGAGUACGGCCGCAAGGUUAAAACUCAAAUGAAUUGACGGGGGCCCGCACAAGCGGUGGAGCAUGUGGUUUAAUUCGAUGCAACGCGAAGAACCUUACCUGGUCUUGACAUAGUGAGAAUCCUGUAGAGAUGCGGGAGUGCCUUCGGGAAUUCACAUACAGGUGCUGCAUGGCUGUCGUCAGCUCGUGUCGUGAGAUGUUGGGUUAAGUCCCGCAACGAGCGCAACCCUUUUCCUUAUUUGCCAGCGGGUUAAGCCGGGAACUUUAAGGAUACUGCCAGUGACAAACUGGAGGAAGGCGGGGACGACGUCAAGUCAUCAUGGCCCUUACGACCAGGGCUACACACGUGCUACAAUGGUAGGUACAGAGGGUUGCUACACAGCGAUGUGAUGCUAAUCUCAAAAAGCCUAUCGUAGUCCGGAUUGGGGUCUGCAACUCGACUCCAUGAAGUCGGAAUCGCUAGUAAUCGCAGAUCAGAAUGCUGCGGUGAAUACGUUCCCGGGCCU